AAGCUCGUAGUUGAAUUUCGGCAUCUAUAGGUCGGUCAUGCCUAUGGUAUGUACUGGCUUUACUGGUUCCUCCUUCUUGAUGGUCUGUAAUGUCAUUAAUUUGGUGUUGCAGGGAGUCAGGACUGUUACUUUGAAAAAAUUAGAGUGUUUAAAGCAGGCAUACGCUUGAAUACAUUAGCAUGGAAUAAUGAAAUAGGACGUUCGAUCCUAUUUUGUUGGUUUCUAGGAUCGACGUAAUGAUUAAUAGGGAUAGUUGGGGGCAUUAGUAUUCAAUUGUCAGAGGUGAAAUUCUUGGAUUUAUUGAAGACUAACUACUGCGAAAGCAUUUGCCAAGGAUGUUUUCAUUAAUCAAGAACGAAAGUUAGGGGAUCGAAGACGAUCAGAUACCGUCGUAGUCUUAACCAUAAACUAUGCCGACUAGGGAUCGGAUGAUGUUAUUUUUAAUGACUCAUUCGGCGCCUUACGGGAAACCAAAGUGUUUGGGUUCCGGGGGGAGUAUGGUCGCAAGGCUGAAACUUAAAGGAAUUGACGGAAGGGCACCACCAGGAGUGGAGCCUGCGGCUUAAUUUGACUCAACACGGGGAAA
RNAcentral lists this ribosomal RNA (586 nucleotides) under uncultured Glomus. RNAcentral's name for it is "SSU rRNA". It matches the Rfam family "Eukaryotic small subunit ribosomal RNA", at positions 624 to 1213 of the family's 1831-position model. The record is from RNAcentral. Lineage: Eukaryota; Fungi; Glomeromycota; Glomeromycetes; Glomerales; Glomeraceae.